GCCGGGGUGGUGAAAUUGGUAGACACGCUAGGUUCAGGAUCUAGUGGAGCGAUCCAUGCGGGUUCGAGUCCCGCCCCCGGCA
RNAcentral lists this transfer RNA (82 nucleotides) under Spirochaetota bacterium. Its description in RNAcentral is "Spirochaetes bacterium (marine sediment metagenome) tRNA-Leu". It matches the Rfam family "tRNA". Rfam says of the family: Transfer RNA (tRNA) molecules are approximately 80 nucleotides in length. The record is from RNAcentral. Lineage: Bacteria; Pseudomonadati; Spirochaetota.